UACGUAGGGUGCAAGCAUUAUCCGGAGUGACUGGGCGUAAAGAGUUGCGUAGGUGGUCAGUAAAGUGAAUAGUGAAAUGUGGCGGCUCAACCGUACACACUAUUAUUCAAACUCACUGACUCGAGAAUGGUAGAGGUAACUGGAAUUUCUUGUGUAGGAGUGAAAUCCGUAGAUAUAAGAAGGAACACCAAUGGCGUAGGCAGGUUACUGGACCAUUUCUGACACUAAGGCACGAAAGCGUGGGGAGCGAACCGG
This 255-nucleotide ribosomal RNA is filed under the name uncultured bacterium. RNAcentral describes it as "partial 16S ribosomal RNA". It matches the Rfam family "Bacterial small subunit ribosomal RNA", at positions 524 to 776 of the family's 1533-position model. The record is from RNAcentral.